Long non-coding RNA from Cotesia glomerata, 415 nucleotides. RefSeq lists it as uncharacterized. Lineage: Eukaryota; Metazoa; Arthropoda; Insecta; Hymenoptera; Braconidae. The record is from RefSeq and is a predicted model, not a curated record. The transcript has 3 exons.
GUAAUUUGAUACUGAAAUAAUAUUUCAAAAUAAUUAUAUGGGAAAUAGUUACAAACAAAACAUUUUCGGAAAUUAAGUAACUUUUGAAAACAGAGCCUAGAAGUUGAUAAAAAUCGACAUCUCACAAAAAGUGUUAUAAUUAUUCUCACACACGCGCUUAAUGAUCUAUUGUCUUGAAACAAUUAAGCAUAUAUUAAUUACAAAAAAAAACAUUGCGGUAAUAAAUUUGUCACCGACUCCUGAAUGCAGCGGAUUUUUACUUUGCGGUUAAACAACUAUUUUUUCCGCGACUUAAAAAAUUUCCCACGACCGUAAGCUUGCGGUUUUACAUUAUUCUUAAAUUAUACCUAUUAUUGUCAAUAAAGCAUCAUCUCGAUCCCCGCAGAUAUGAAUUCAGAUUUAUAAAUAAUUUAUU